Molecule: ribosomal RNA, 468 nt
Filed under: uncultured bacterium
Lineage: Bacteria
Description: partial 16S ribosomal RNA
Rfam family: Bacterial small subunit ribosomal RNA
Source: RNAcentral
GACGAACGCUGGCGGCGUGCUUAACACAUGCAAGUCGAACGGAAAGGCCCUGCUUUUGUGGGGUGCUCGAGUGGCGAACGGGUGAGUAACACGUGAGUAACCUGCCCUUGACUUUGGGAUAACUUCAGGAAACUGGGGCUAAUACCGGAUAGGAGCUCCUGCUGCAUGGUGGGGGUGGGAAAGUUUCGGCGGUUGGGGAUGGACUCGCGGCGUAUCAGCUUGUUGGUGGGGUAGUGGCUUACCAAGGCUUUGACGGGUAGCCGGCCUGAGAGGGUGACCGGCCACAUUGGGACUGAGCUACGGCCCAGCCUCCUACGGGAGGCAGCAGUGGGGAAUAUUGCACAAUGGGCGGAAGCCUGAUGCAGCAACGCCGCGUGCGGGAUGACGGCCUUCGGGUUGUAAACCGCUUUCGCCUGUGACGAAGCGUGAGUGACGGUAAUGGGUAAAGAAGCACCGGCUAACUACGUG